RNAcentral lists this ribosomal RNA (207 nucleotides) under uncultured bacterium. RNAcentral's name for it is "partial 16S ribosomal RNA". It matches the Rfam family "Bacterial small subunit ribosomal RNA", at positions 568 to 774 of the family's 1533-position model. The record is from RNAcentral.
UGCGUAGGCGGGUUUUUAAGUCAGGGGUGAAAUCCUGGAGCUCAACUCCAGAACUGCCUUUGAUACUGAAGAUCUUGAGUCCGGGAGAGGUAAGUGGAACUGCGAGUGUAGAGGUGAAAUUCGUAGAUAUUCGCAAGAACACCAGUGGCGAAGGCGGCUCACUGGCCCGGUACUGACGCUGAGGCACGAAAGCGUGGGGAGCAAACA